Long non-coding RNA from Mya arenaria, 1658 nucleotides. RefSeq lists it as uncharacterized. The record is from RefSeq and is a predicted model, not a curated record. The transcript is spliced from 2 exons. Lineage: Eukaryota; Metazoa; Mollusca; Bivalvia; Myida; Myidae.
UUUCAUUUUUCAUAAAAACCAAAGCCAGCGCAGAGCGAAACAUAUUUUUUUUUUAUAACCAAUAUAAAGAAGAAAGACAUUCAACAUUUACUCUUUAACCCAUUUGAACAAAAUAUUAAGCUUUUAAGUCUUUAUUGGACAAUAGAAAAUGUUCGAAAACUUACUAGAUUUGAGUAAGCACAACAAGGAUAUACCAAGAAUCUAAGAUAAUUUUAUAGAUUUUUAAAAAAAAAAUGUCCAUUUGUAUAUAUAAAUAGGCACGUGUUACGAAUCACUCAGGAGCAUUCUUACGAAAACCGUGUACACAUAAACAUACAUUGGCUGUGAAAUUGCUCUUGUUGAGGGUUGGACGCCCUUCGCAUAAUAUGAGCUUAAACACGUAUAUUCAAACGUUUCACGUUUAGGCGACGAAACGGGCGAUAUUUAUUUGAUCGCGUCAUAUUCACACAUAAAAAUAAUUUUCUUAUGUGUUUCUUGUGGUUUCGUUCCAAAGGACAAUUUGCGAUAGCUACUACCAUCAUGACUGAAAUCAUUCGGUGUUUUAUAUGGGUCUCUUUACAGAUAACUUUCAAUGGGGAGUACACACAAACCCCCCACUGCCAACAUCUUUUACCAUUUAAAUUUCGGUUAUGAGGGAGGAGCGAAUGAAAAAAGUAGUGACCCUAAGCAGCCCCCCCCCCCCUCUAAACUCAAUUCCUGGUUCCACCCCUGGUUUUGAGAUAUAUUUUGUACAUGUACACAGUUUUUGCAGUAUUUCCUGAUAUAGCUUGGUUUUCCGAAUGGAGAGUGAAACUCUUUAAAUAUGUUUCAUUUUUUUACAUUCACGCCUUCAAACUAUCCCCCUCCCCCUUAGUUUUCGUCAAAUUUAAUGCGUGAAGAGAAAUAAAUAGGAUUUAAAAUUGUCGCUUGAUAAGCAUAAUCAUAACUAUAACUAUGUUUUAUUUUUUAUUGACGAUAUUGAUUUAUCUAACGCUAAAGGGAAUUGCUUUAUUAUCUACAAGCGUGACGCUCGACUGAUGCACGAUCCAUACCUGAUCUGAAGUUCGUUGACACCACUUUUCUAUUCGAUUGAUCUGGCUUUAACACUACAUGUAGGCAUUUUGCAAUAGAUUCAAUUCAUGUCUGUCUGGGCCAAAGGAUCUUUCAUAAGAAUCUAAUAUAAAAACAUACGUCAAUGAUUUAAAUGUCUAUGAAGGAAGGGUAAACACGUAUCAAUGAACAACACGACAUGGAUAUGUAUGAGAGAACAUUAAAGACCAUCAUCGAAUGGGAAUAAUAGUUGAUAUCAUGGAACAUAACAUAUACAGAUAAACAGAGGAGGUACCAAAUUACAAAUAACAAAAACAUCAAACCUUUAUAUCGAUUUGGGAAGUAAUAAACCAGUAUGGGUACAAGCUAAAUUGAUUAUGUCAAAAAGUUUGAAACAUGAAAUAUUAAAUGGCACACAAUAUAGGUUAUUAUGUUUAGCACAAUAUAGGUUAUUAUGUUUAACACAAUAUAGGUUAUUAUGUUUAGCACAAUAUAGGUUAUUAUGUUUAACACAAUAUAGGUUAUUAUGUUUAACACAAUAUAGGUUAUUAUGUUUAACACAAUAUAGGUUAUUAUGUUUAACACAAUAUAGGUUAUUAUGUUUAACACAAUAUAGGUUAUUAUGUUUA